Molecule: ribosomal RNA, 404 nt
Filed under: uncultured Acetobacterium sp.
Lineage: Bacteria; Bacillati; Bacillota; Clostridia; Eubacteriales; Eubacteriaceae
Description: bacterial SSU rRNA
Rfam family: Bacterial small subunit ribosomal RNA
Source: RNAcentral
GGGGAAUAUUGGACAAUGGGCGAAAGCCUGACCCAGCAACGCCGCGUGAAGGAAGAAGGCCCUCGGGUUGUAAACUUCUUUUAUCAGGGACGAAACAAAUGACGGUACCUGAUGAAUAAGUCCCGGCUAACUACGUGCCAGCAGCCGCGGUAAUACGUAGGGGACAAGCGUUGUCCGGAUUUACUGGGCGUAAAGGGCACGCAGGCGGUUUUUUAAGUCAGAUGUGAAAGGUACCGGCUCAACCGGUGACAUGCAUUUGAAACUGAAAGACUUGAGUAUUGGAGAGGCAAGUGGAAUUCCUAGUGUAGCGGUGAAAUGCGUAGAUAUUAGGAGGAACACCGGUGGCGAAGGCGGCUUGCUGGACAAAUACUGACGCUGAGGUGCGAAAGCGUGGGGAGCAAACA